RNAcentral lists this ribosomal RNA (593 nucleotides) under Fomitopsis resupinata. Its description in RNAcentral is "Fomitopsis sp. SL-2021a partial small subunit ribosomal RNA". It matches the Rfam family "Bacterial small subunit ribosomal RNA", at positions 401 to 955 of the family's 1533-position model. Lineage: Eukaryota; Fungi; Basidiomycota; Agaricomycetes; Polyporales; Fomitopsidaceae. The record is from RNAcentral.
UCCCGGGCCUUUUUCUUAUAUGCAGCUGCCUUUUGUCUUAUCAAUGUGAUAUAGUAAGGGAAAACAAAUGAUAUUACUUUACUUAUAGUGUUGUCUAAUUCUGGUGCCAGAAGACUCGGUAAUACCAGUAACGCGAACGUUAGUCAUCUUUAUCAGGCGUAAAGGGUUUGUAGGCAGCUUUUAAAAAAAUUUCUUAACUAUAUAAUAUUGUCCUUUUGCCCCUUUUUUUUUAUAAAAAAGGAGGUAAGGAAUAAAAAUAGUUAAGUCUCUAAUUUGAGAGCUAGAAUCAAAUAGAAGUUAAAAAGUAUAAUACUUAGAGAAGGGUUGAUAUUCUUAGAACCUAAGGGGAAUACUAAUGGUGUAAACAACUAACUAUAAAUGAUUGACGCUGAGACACGAAGGUGAGGAUAGGAAAUAGGAUUAGAUACCCCGGUACCCCUCUCUGUAAACGAUGAAUGGUAGUUAUUAGUGUAUUACUGGUAACGAUGCUAACGCGUUAACCAUUCCGCCUUGGGAGUACGAUUGCAAAGUUGAAAACAAAAAAAUUAGUCGGUCUCGGAGCAAACGGAGUGAAGCAUGUUAUUUAAUUCAUU